Calypte anna (Anna's hummingbird) is the source of this 2289-nucleotide long non-coding RNA. RefSeq lists it as uncharacterized. The transcript has 5 exons. NCBI's taxonomy places the organism in Eukaryota, Metazoa, Chordata, Aves, Apodiformes, Trochilidae. The record is from RefSeq and is a predicted model, not a curated record.
GGCCCCUUCAAAAACCAGCUCUGGGUCCGGGCUCCUGGGCAGGCCCUGCUGCCGGCCCCAGGCCAGGCCGGAGCACAGUGGUGGAGUUAGGUGGGUCAGGAGCUGCACACCAUCCAGGCACCGUGAGUCGUUGAUGAGGAUCGACCACCAUUAAUUGCGUGGGUGUCAUAGAUGAGACAGCGCACACAGAGCAGGGGAAGUUGUGGGACGGAGGAGGGUAUUAUCAGGGAGAGACGGUAUCCCAGCCAGGCACCGCUCUUCAGUUCCUAUCCUCAGUCCCGAUGGCUCCAGGACAGCAGACAAAGUUUCUUCGGGACAGUCCUCACUGGAGCACUUUGGGCUUGCUUUCACCUAGGUACUCUCUGAAGCUGGGACAACUGUUGAGCAUGUGAGAUAAUGGUUUCUUGGAGUUUUCCAUAGAUUGGGGCAGCUGCUCCCCACACCGCCUGGUAAACUGCAUCCCAGAGACAGCUGGAAGCCCAAGGAUGGUGCUCCAGUGAAGAGCUCUGUGACACUGGCCAAGAGCUGCAGUGCAGCACUGCGUGUAUUUGACAAGCUGAGUUUGACACUCAGUGUGCAGAGUGUCAGUUUGUCAAAUACCCCAAGUGAGGCAUUUGCUGAGCAACGCGGCGGCACGGUGAGGCCAGCGGCUCCUUCCUCCUGCUCCAGCAGAAGCUUUCCUGUCAGUAUCCUGCUCCUCUCCAGAGACCCAGUGAGGUAUUGAACAACCCAUCCCACCAGUGAUGAAUGCUUGAGUCUGACCUUGUGCUGCCAGGUUUCCCUCCCACCCCUAUUUUGGAAGUGCCUGAGGGGGUGGCACCCUUCCUAAGGGCAAAUCUGUACAGCAGCAGUAGUGUGGGUUCAGCUCCUCUGCAUUGCAGAAGCAGAGAAUGUAGCCCUGGCUUCUUACUCUUAGCAGCCAAAUGCUGUGCUCCUCUCCUUCACAGUGUUAGCCUGCAAGUUGUUAAUUAAUAAUCCUGCUCAGUCAAAUGUGCCAAGUUUGACAAAUCAGACUCUCUGAAUGCACUGAACAGUGAAAACUCAAACUAAUAAAAAACCCCAGGACCCUACUGACUUGCUUUAUGUCAGCAUCCCCAGCAAAUUGUGCAACAUUUAAGAAUAUUGAUAAACUUUAAUGCUGAGCUUUUGGGCUUUUUGUUGCAACUAUUUCUUGUCUAAUAUGAAGAAGUUGGAGUUUCUACAAAGCUGAGGCAAAUGAAUUUAUAUCAUUGUCUAGGCAAAUUGUGUUCUGCUUUUUGAAUAGGUCUGACCAGUAGGGCUUAUAGUGUAUGUCUGGGCAAACAUGGUCCUAUUCCUCAUGACUCACACUCCCGUGGUCUCCCUUAAAGCACCUACUUGUGACUCAGAGAUAGCAGCACUGAUCUCUAUCACUGAGAUCAGAUUCAAAAGAGAACAAACUCUAAUUUAGGAUUUGUUUUGCCCCCCCCAUGGAUCUUUAAUGUAGCAGACAGCUGUGUCAACCCCAACCCUAUCUGCCAUCACAGACCUCAAGGUUUCAACAGACCUAACCUCUCCUGUGCCACAGCUAGCCAAGUGUUCAUUUGUGCUCUUCAUCAUUGUUUUCUUAAGCAUUCCCAGUUUUUAUUUUCAGUAGAAUUUGCCCCUCUGCUUUUUGAAUAACACCCUGCCCCAGGGCCUUGUUCCUUCUAGAUAGCUGGGGGGAAGGGAAAGAAAGAUAACCCCUUCCUCUCUUACAAGAAAAAUUACCAGGUUACCAAUUACCAGUGGGACACAUUUCUCUGAGACUUCCUCCUCCAUGAACAGUAGGUUCAGCAGGGCUCUGAGGCCAGGGUGAACUUGGAGAGUGUAAAAGGUAAUGUACCCCUUCUGUUGAGUGUGUACUUCAGUUGCUCUGAAGCAAGGGGAGCUGCAAGUCUCAUGACUUUGUGCUGGCCACAAAAAGUAGCAUGUUUUUUUUGGAGGCAGUGGAGUUUCAGGGCAGAGGCUGAAGUUUCCCUUCUGUGCUGCAGCAGAUGAAUCAUGUCACCCCAUGGGUGACCAGCACAAGGAAAGGAGAAGUUCUCUUGUUGGAUAGUAAUACAACACAAGAAAGCCCUCUGACUUCCAGAAGAGUGUUCUGCUUCCAACAGUUUUUACUACUAAAUAAACCAAAACCAAAAAAAUAAUCACAUACUUGCUGCAUAAGGAGAAACAACAACCUAUGCACUGGACAGAGGCUAUUUGUAUUUCCACUGUUCUGCUGCUUAUGAUCAAGGCCAUUUUGCUGCCCAAACUAGAGGCAGUGACAACACAAGGUACAUACCAUCU